AUGGGUUUGGACCAGGCUCAAGAUAGUAGGGGUUUGACCAUCGCGGAGAUCGCGCUGCGGGUGUUCCUGAAGCUUAAGUUUCUGGGUUUGGCUGCAGUCCAGCGUAUCCGCAUCAGACAACGCUCCAGGUUGUUUUGGCUCCGCGCAGGUGAUGCUCACUCAAAGCUUUUCUUCAUUAAGGCCAAUGGCCGAAGGCGCAGAAAUUUCAUUCCCUUGCUGGAAACUGAUCACGGCCAAUUAACCCUGCAAGUUGACAAGCAACAAGAGCUUUUGAACCACUUCUCUGCAUCUAUAGGCACUUCGCGGGUGAGAGAGAAAACUCUGAACUGGGACUAUUUGGGGCUGCCUACCCAUGAUCUGACCUCUCUGGAAGCUCCAUUCUCUGCAAACGAGGUUCGUGUCGCGGUCAUGUCACUACCUUCUGGCAAGGCUCCGGGUCCGGACGGAUUUACGACUAGUUUUUUCAAGAGCUGUUGGGAUCUGAUUGGUCCAGAUGUCACGGCCGCACUGAAUCAGUUAUUUAAUCUUAGGGGUAAGAGAUGGAAUCUCCUCAACUCUGCACACAUAACCUUAAUCCCCAAGUCAGAUGAUGUUGUCCGUGUUAAGGACUUCCGCCCCAUAAGUUUGAUGCAUUCAGUGGCUAAGAUUCUGUGUAAAACACUCUCUCUCAGGCUUGCACCCUUCCUC
This 687-nucleotide ribosomal RNA is filed under the name Triticum aestivum (bread wheat). Its description in RNAcentral is "partial small subunit ribosomal RNA". The record is from RNAcentral. Lineage: Eukaryota; Viridiplantae; Streptophyta; Magnoliopsida; Poales; Poaceae.